RNAcentral lists this ribosomal RNA (200 nucleotides) under uncultured eukaryote. RNAcentral's name for it is "partial 18S ribosomal RNA". It matches the Rfam family "Eukaryotic small subunit ribosomal RNA", at positions 586 to 798 of the family's 1831-position model. The record is from RNAcentral.
CAGCUCCACUAGCGUAUAUUAAAGUUGUUGCAGUUAAAAAGCUCGUAGUUGAACUUCUGGCUGUGACUUGAGUCGGUAUUUAUAUCGCUCUAGCCGGCAGUCAUCCGUCUGCAACUUUUACAUCCUUAACUGGUUUGUCUAAGGGAGCAGGCAUUUUACUUUGAAAAAAUUAGAGUGUUUAAGGCAGGCCGCAAGCCUGA